This 522-nucleotide ribosomal RNA is filed under the name uncultured bacterium. RNAcentral's name for it is "bacterial SSU rRNA". It matches the Rfam family "Bacterial small subunit ribosomal RNA", at positions 24 to 518 of the family's 1533-position model. The record is from RNAcentral.
UCAGGACGAACGCUGGCGGCGUGCCUAAUACAUGCAAGUCGAACGGUCUUUCUAUGGAAGCUUGCUUCCACUGAGAAGAUAGUGGCGAACGGGUGAGUAACACGUGGGUAACCUGCCCAUAAGAGGGGGAUAACAUCCGGAAACGGGUGCUAAUACCGCAUAGUUUUCUUGAUCGCAUGAUCGGGGAAGGAAAGACGGCCUUUGUGCUGUCGCUUAUGGAUGGACCCGCGGCGUAUUAGUUAGUUGGUGAGGUAACGGCUCACCAAGACGAUGAUACGUAGCCGACCUGAGAGGGUGAUCGGCCACAUUGGGACUGAGACACGGCCCAAACUCCUACGGGAGGCAGCAGUAGGGAAUCUUCCGCAAUGGACGAAAGUCUGACGGAGCAACGCCGCGUGAGUGAAGAAAGGGUUUUCGGAUCGUAAAACUCUGUUGUCAGAGAAGGACAAGUUGGAGAGUAACUGCUCCAGCCUUGACGGUAUCUGACCAGAAAGCCACGGCUAACUACGUGCCAGCCGCCGC